RNAcentral lists this ribosomal RNA (460 nucleotides) under uncultured bacterium. Its description in RNAcentral is "partial 16S ribosomal RNA". It matches the Rfam family "Bacterial small subunit ribosomal RNA", at positions 338 to 795 of the family's 1533-position model. The record is from RNAcentral.
CCUACGGGUGGCAGCAGUGAGGAAUAUUGGUCAAUGGGCGCGACUCUGAACCAGCCAAGUAGCGUGAAGGAUGACUGCCCUACGGGUUGUAAACUUCUUUUAUAAAGGAAUAAAGUGAGGCACGUGUGCCUUUUUGCAUGUACUUUAUGAAUAAGGACCGGCUAAUUCCGUGCCAGCAGCCGCGGUAAUACGGAGGUUCCGAGCGUUAUCCGGAUUUAUUGGGUUUAAAGGGAGCGUAGAUGGGUUGUUAAGCUUGUUGUGAAAGUUUGCGGCUCAACCGUAGAAGUGCAAUGCAAACUGGGAGUCUUGAGUACAGUUGAGGUAGGCGGAAUUCGUGGUGUAGCGGUGAAAUGCUUAGAUAUCACGAAGAACUCCGAUUGCGAAGGCAGCUUACUAAACUGCUACUGACGUUCAGGCUCGAAAGUGUGGGUAUCAAACAGGAUUAGAUACCCUUGUAGUC